UACGUAGGGACCAAGCGUUGUUCGGAUUUACUGGGCGUAAAGGGCGCGUAGGCGGCGCGGUAAGUCACUUGUGAAAUCUCUGAGCUUAACUCAGAACGGCCAAGUGAUACUGCAGUGCUAGAGUGCGGAAGGGGCAAUCGGAAUUCUUGGUGUAGCGGUGAAAUGCGUAGAUAUCAGGAGGAAUACCGAUGGCGAAGGCAGGUCUCUGGGCUGACACUGACGCUCAUGCACGAAAGCGUGGGGAGCAAACAGG
Molecule: ribosomal RNA, 253 nt
Filed under: uncultured bacterium
Lineage: Bacteria
Description: partial 16S ribosomal RNA
Rfam family: Bacterial small subunit ribosomal RNA
Source: RNAcentral